RNAcentral lists this ribosomal RNA (405 nucleotides) under uncultured prokaryote. RNAcentral's name for it is "bacterial SSU rRNA". It matches the Rfam family "Bacterial small subunit ribosomal RNA", at positions 354 to 774 of the family's 1533-position model. The record is from RNAcentral.
GUGGGGGAUAUUGCGCAAUGGGGGCAACCCUGACGCAGCAACGCCGCGUGAAGGAUGAAGGUUUUCGGAUUGUAAACUUCUUUUAUUAAGGACGAAAAAUGACGGUACUUAAUGAAUAAGCUCCGGCUAACUACGUGCCAGCAGCCGCGGUAAUACGUAGGGAGCAAGCGUUGUCCGGAUUUACUGGGUGUAAAGGGUGCGUAGGCGGCUUUGCAAGUCAGAUGUGAAAUCUAUGGGCUCAACCCAUAAACUGCAUUUGAAACUGUAGAGCUUGAGUGAAGUAGAGGCAGGCGGAAUUCCCCGUGUAGCGGUGAAAUGCGUAGAGAUGGGGAGGAACACCAGUGGCGAAGGCGACUUACUGGGCCACAACUGACGCUGAGGCACGAAAGCGUGGGGGAGCAAACA